RNAcentral lists this ribosomal RNA (254 nucleotides) under uncultured bacterium. Its description in RNAcentral is "partial 16S ribosomal RNA". It matches the Rfam family "Bacterial small subunit ribosomal RNA", at positions 524 to 776 of the family's 1533-position model. The record is from RNAcentral.
UACGGGGGGGGCAAGCGUUGUUCGGAAUUACUGGGCGUAAAGGGCUCGUAGGCGGCCAACUAAGUCGGACGUGAAAUCCCUCGGCUUAACCGGGGAACUGCGUCUGAUACUGGAUGGCUUGAGUUUGGGAGAGGGAUGCGGAAUUCCAGGUGUAGCGGUGAAAUGCGUAGAUAUCUGGAGGAACACCGGUGGCGAAGGCGGCAUCCUGGACCAACACUGACGCUGAGUGAGCGAAAGCCAGGGGAGCAAACGGG